CCUUCUGCUCUGAGUCCUUUCUCACUGCUGAUGGUAAAGUGUCCCAAAACAGCACUCAGGACAGCCUCCUUGAGUUUGGCACAGAUAUUUCAACUCUGUUUUAGCAGCUCUUUGUUCCUUUGGUUCAUUUUGCUUCAUUACAUACUACCCUACUCAAAUGCCACUCUCCUGGUCUACCUCUGGAAAGCUUUCCUCAGCUCUUUAAAAUUAUGGAAGUCUUUAUCUCCUUAACCUUCCUUCAAAUACUUCCAUUUAUCUCAGUACUAACACUUAAUUCUAGGAAUUGAAUAAGAAUUAUCUAUUACCUAAGGCGGUUCUUCAAACAGGCAGUGGCUGUGCUUCUUGCCCCUGAUAAUUUCACUUCACGUAACUGAUCAACUCUGGAUUCAGUGGAAAGUCCAGGCGGCUACAGUCUUGUUUCUAUUAUAUGGGGUAAGAUAAUUGCUUGACAACCAAUUUGUUUUUUUAAUAUGAGCAUUUUUAAUAUAAUUAUUUCAUGGUCGUUUGAGUUGAAUUAGCAAGUACAUAGUGUGCAAUGGGUACUAAUUAUUUUCACUUUCACUUUUUCUUCAUAUUAUUAUGUACAGAUUGACUACCCAAUACAUCACGGUAAAAAAUAAAAAUGCACAAAAAUAGCUAUUAUAAUUCAGACCAAAUUAAUUGCUACUAGAGGUCUUUCACAGACAUAACAGAUAAUGAUAGUAAUAUCUAAUAUUUAUUUAGUACUUAACCCUAUCCUAGAAGCAAUUUUAAACAUUUCACAUGUAUUGAAUCACUACCCUGACAAGAAUCCAGUGAUCUUUUUAUUAUGUCUCUUUUGCAAAAAAGAGACAUCCAAUACUCUUCACAAUUUGGAUAAAUGCUCAGACAAAUACAGACUAUUUUUAGAUGCAUUUUAGUGAUUCUAUUGCUGUCAGGAUACUCAUAAUUUGGUCAUCAAGUUCAAACUAUUCUUAUAUUCUAGGGCCCUAUUACCUUUUUGUUGCUGUUGUUAUUUCUUUCUGCAACAAAAUUGUCUCACAUAAGAAAUCAUGCAUAAGCUGAAUUUUUCCCAAUAGCUUUAAAGUUUUCUCUUAACAGUAGUACCAAGUCUUGGCUAAACUAAUUCGUUUAUUUUCUGGGUUACUGUUCAUCCUGUUCUCGUUCUUCCUCAUCAAAUUAACUCUGCAUUGAUGUUCAGGGUGCUCUGAUAUUACGGUUGUCUUCAUUGUAACAUUUUGACCUCUUAAUUACUCUGUAUACUUAUCAUAAGCAGCAAAGGAGGCAGGAGAAGAUGAAUGAAUCUGGCACAUUCCCUUAAUUUACUUUAAUUUGUACCUCUCUCUCUUUUUUUCUCUUCUGCUAAGGUGAAGGCUGUUCACUUGAUUUAGCUCAAUUCUUUUUUGCUUUUCUUGAACAUACCCCAUACGUGACAUAAAUGUUAUCAUUUCCUCAUGAAUUUCCCCAAAUCAUACCAGAAACAAAAAAGCCUGCUUUAUUUGACAUCUACUGAGACAUGUGACACUAAUUAUUUAUUGCAUGGUACUUAAGUAAUAGAAAUGCUUGCAAAACUUGAAGGAAAAAAGGGGAUGGGCUAUAAUAUCAGCAUAUUUAUAGACAAAAUUUCAUGUUUUAUACACAGAAAUUGAUGUUUUUGUAUUUGAAAGAAUUAUUAUUUACUAUAGGUUGUUUUGAUUCUUACUUACCAAGUGAUUAUCUCAUUAAAUUCUUUUAUCUCUGAGGAAAAAAUGGCAUUCCAUGUUUUGAAUGAUGUCAGAAUUUUAACUUCAUUGCCAAAGAUUAAUGAAUUUUAUCACAAAAUCAGCUCACAUGAAUCCUCAUUCUAGGACUUUCCUGUUUUCCUUAUAGAAACAAGCAUUCUCUCCUGAUCUUUGAAACUAAAAUAAAAUAAAAUCAUCUCUGGCAUUUAUGUUGAAUAGUGCUUUUGUUUCCUACCCCAAAGUUGUAUAUCCACUGUGGUUCUGGGGAUGUUAAUUUACAUAUAAGCUUUCUGUUUAAUUUCCAAGUGACAUUUAAAGUAUAUUACCUGGGAGAUUACAACCUCAAACCUCCCUUUCAUACUUUCUAAGGGAUGAGACAGCUCCCAAAAGAAAAGCUGGCCAAGUUAAUAGCUGAAAAUGAUUCACCUCCUCUCCAUCCCUUAAAAAAAAUGUUUAUUCUUCAAUAAUAAUCUGAGGAGUUUGAGUACAAACCAAGAACCUACUUUUGUUCAGGACUGACACUAUAAUCAUAUCCUUUAUGUCGAAACCAAAUCUAAUGAAGCAUGAGAGAAUAGGGUCUGAACAGAGGUAAAAUUAGAAAAUAUCAAAUAAGUCUAAGACCAGGGAAAUCAGAACCAAGUUUUGAGGUUUGGUUGACUACAAAUUAACUGUCUGAAAAGUGAAUGGAAAACUCCCUGCAUGCUACUGUAAAUCUGAAUGACAUCCCACCCCACUAGGAUCCCUUAUCUGCUUAGAGUAUGUUUUUAAGUUUCUGUUUGUUUAAAAUACAUACUUAUUGCUAUUGCUAUUUAAUUGCAUUGCCAUCAGAUGAAGUAAUAUAGAUUUGAAGAAAUUUAAUUUAUAAUGGAAUAUGUGAUGCUUAAAAAUUAAUCUUUGUGUGCGUAAAUGAAAUGCCCACUCAACAGUCACUUGUUCAAGUGAGUUAUACCUUUCCAUGAGAUCCCAUUGAAUCUAUAAACUUCUAUUUCCUCACAAGAUUAAGAUUUGUAUAGGUUCCUCGUGUACAGAGAUGUCAUCAAUAGUAUUGAUAUUAAUUUUGUUUCGUUUUUUUUUUUUUUUCUGACACUAAUACAAUAUAAAUGAUACUGGCCUGAUCAUUCUUUACCCUUUCCUUUUGACCAUUCAGCAUCUUAUUGCUUAGGUAUAUCUCUUUAAAAUAUUGCUGGAUUUAAAAAUCUAGUCUGAUAGUCAUUGUCUUUUAACUCAAUAAGUUAUAUCAAUUAUGAUUACUUACAUAUCUGUGUUCAUUUCUCUGGUCCUAUAUCUCUUUUGGACAUGUUAAUAUGUUUUUUUUGUUGUUGUUGUUUUUAAUAGCCACGCUUGUGGCAUACAGAGGUUCCCAGGCUAGGGGAUGAGUCAGAGCUAUAGUCACCAGCCUAUGUUACAGCCAUAGCAACACCAGAUCUGAGCCACAUCUGUGACCUACACCACAGCUCACGGCAACACUUGGCAUCCUUAACACACUGAAUAAGGCCUCAGAUCAAACCUGUAUGCUCAUGGGUACUAGUCAGAUUUGUUUCCACUGAGCCACGAUGGUAACUCUAUCCCCUCCUAUUUUUUUUUUUUAAGUAAAGUUUGAUUUUUUCUCAUUUUGUUUCCCCCCCAAAAAAAAAAUCUUAGAAAUUUUCACUUUUGUCAUUGCUAUAGAAAUUUGUCACAUGUGUGAUGUAAUCCAACUUAUUAUUGAAAAACAGGGUGAAUUUUUUUUCUCCAGCUUCUGUUGCAAUCCUUACAGUUUAAGGCAUACCCCCCCCACCCCCGUAGAUAUUGUCACUGGCUUAGAUCUUGAUGGUGGUAGCAGACACUGUAACAAGAAGUUUAGAGAAUAAAGUGUAGAAGGGUUCCAUGUGAAUACCAAUUGAUGAGAAGUCAGUCAGUUCCAAGAAAUGGACUCCUUUAAUUCCGUAAGAAUAAUGGGAUUUGGAAGUCGUUGAUGUCAAUGACCUCAAGUCUCUGCUGGAGACAGUGUGGCUCAGGCCUGUGUUAGAGUGGUUCCAGUGGGAACACAGGUCCACUCUGCUUAUUUCCAGAGCUCCUAAAUGUACAACUAAAACAGACAUUCUUGGUGACUAUUAGGAUCCUUGCGGUGGCUUUCUGAUUCUUACAAUACCAAAGUGUAAGCCCAUGGAAUGUAAUUUCCCCACCUGUAUAAUAUAGCCAAAAUAACAACACGUCUGAUGGCCAUGCAUAGAUUAAAGUCACCGAAAAACUUGGAGGAUACAGAGGCAUUAGUUUUUAUUACAUGGUCUUCUCAAUUCACCGGUUUAGCCUGAAGGUAGCUAUAUCUUAGACACUGACAAUGGACAUUUAUAAAUUACUUAAGUGAUGACUUCAACUGUUUCUCCUAUUUCAGAUUCAGUAAUCUGAUGGAGAAAAAUUUCUAAUCAGUGUUUAGGGAUCCAGGGCUCUGAGGUAUAAGAGCAUAGACACUCCCAAUCAAAAGACAAGGUAGUAAAUCAACCGCCACAAAGAAGCUUGGUGCUCGAAAGGUCUUUUGAAUUUAGAGGGCAACACAAAGAGCAUCUAAGUAUAAUGCUCUGAGAUAUUAACUGAGAAAAACAAAAGACCACUGGUUUUGAGGGAGAUUCAAUGGAAGAGAAAGAUUUACACGUUCAGCCUGCUGUGAAAAUUGCUUUGCUAUUUGUGCCCAACAACCCAGAAGACCAAGGAGUGAUGCUAUAUGGAGCCUUAAUAAAGCCCAGAUAUGACUUUUGGAUACACAAAGCUCUGGAGCAAUGCAUUACACUUUCCUGUAGACAACUAUUUACUUUUUUGGAAAUAAGUACCAACUAUAUUGUAAGGCCUAGUAGAGGUCAAAAAACUGAACAUAGGACAUCAAAUGAACAUGUUCUGUGAACUGAUCAUCAUGAUUCAGGUUUUAUCUUAUCCACCAAGUUUGGAAGUGACUAACAGCAAUAAACCAUCAAGUCAAAACGAUAUCUAAUAGGUUGGGUUUGAACAGGUCUAGUAGGCUCAAGGGAUUUUCACGAAGCUCUUUUAACCCAGUCAACACCUGAGGCCUUAUGAGGAGUUGGUUGAGGAGGAAAGGCAUGAUUGCAUCUCUUUGCAUUUAGUCAUACAAGAAAAUUCGGCAUCGAUUGAACAUGGAAUGUUUAUACCCUUAAAGCCUCAAACAUGAAGACCCCCCAUAAGACAGAGGUUAAGAAAAUCUUCUCAGUUAUCAAAACCUCAACCAAUGCAUUUGGUUAUCUACCACAUUUUAGGAGUGUGCUGUUAAUAAUAAACUACUUGAUAUUUUUCAGACCCCUAAAGUAUAUCAUUAGAUCUCCAGUGUCAAUAUAUAUAUUUAGAAAAAGGAAGAAAUAAGAUACUUUUUAUUUCAUUUGGAAUACUCAUUCAAAAUAAAAUGUCAAACUAAGGCAGACGAGAAAGCUAUGCAAAAAGAAUAGAAGAAGAACAAACAUGAAAAAAUAAAUUAAAACUGCUCAAAUAGGGAGUUCCCUUGAGGCUCAGCAAAGUUAAGGAUCAGACAUUGUGUCUCAGGUUACUACUGUGAUGAGGGGUCAUCUCUGG
RNAcentral lists this long non-coding RNA (5255 nucleotides) under Sus scrofa (pig). RNAcentral's name for it is "lncRNA (ENSSSCG00050037502.1)". Lineage: Eukaryota; Metazoa; Chordata; Mammalia; Artiodactyla; Suidae. The record is from RNAcentral.